UGGGGAAUAUUGGGCAAUGGGCGAAAGCCUGACCCAGCAACGCCGCGUGAGGGAAGAAGGUUUUCGGAUUGUAAACCUCUGUCCUAAGGGACGAAGGAAGUGACGGUACCUUAGGAGGAAGCCCCGGCUAACUACGUGCCAGCAGCCGCGGUAAUACGUAGGGGGCGAGCGUUGUCCGGAAUGACUGGGCGUAAAGGGCGUGUAGGCGGCAGUAUAAGUCCGGAGUGAAAGUUCUGCUUUCAAGGUGGGAAUUGCUUUGGAGACUGUACAGCUUGAGUGCGGAAGAGGUAAGUGGAAUUCCCAGUGUAGCGGUGAAAUGCGUAGAGAUUGGGAGGAACACCAGUGGCGAAGGCGACUUACUGGGCCGUAACUGACGCUGAGGCGCGAAAGCGUGGGGAGCGAACAGGAUUAGAUACCCUGGUAGUCCACGCGGUAAACGAUGAAUGCUAGGUGUAGGGGGUAUCGACCCCUUCUGUGCCGGAGUAAACACAAUAAGCAUUCCGCCUGGGGAGUACGGCCGCAAGGUUGAAACUCAAAGGAAUUGACGGGGGCCCGCACAAGCAGCGGAGCAUGUGGUUUAAUUCGACGCAACGCGAAGAACCUUACCAGGUCUUGACAUCGAUCCAAAGCUACAGAGAUGUAGUGAGACUUCGGUCAGGAGAAGACAGGUGGUGCAUGGUUGUCGUCAGCUCGUGUCGUGAGAUGUUGGGUUAAGUCCCGCAACGAGCGCAACCCUUAUUGUCAGUUACUAACGGGUAAGGCCGAGGACUCUGACGAGACUGCCGGGGACAACUCGGAGGAAGGUGGGGACGACGUCAAAUCAUCAUGCCCCUUAUGACCUGGGCUACACACGUGCUACAAUGGUGGUAACAAAGAGGAGCGAGCCCGUAAGGGUAAGCGGAUCUCAAAAAAGCCAUCUCAGUUCGGAUUGUGGGCUGCAACCCGCCCACAUGAAGUUGGAGUUGCUAGUAAUCGCGAAUCAGCAUGUCGCGGUGAAUACGUUCCC
Molecule: ribosomal RNA, 1006 nt
Filed under: uncultured bacterium
Lineage: Bacteria
Description: bacterial SSU rRNA
Rfam family: Bacterial small subunit ribosomal RNA
Source: RNAcentral